AUGCUCCACUGGCGGGAAAGACGCCACAAGAAAGUGGUUUUCCCAGGGUGAGGCUCAUUCAUUUCAUUCCAGGUGUUCUGACCCCCACGGUUUUCCCAAGUGUGGGAGAUUCAACUGCGUAAUUUAUGGUUAUGGGGGACCGUUUUCCCCGG
RNAcentral lists this small nuclear RNA (152 nucleotides) under Peromyscus maniculatus bairdii (prairie deer mouse). RNAcentral's name for it is "U1 spliceosomal RNA (ENSPEMG00000003627.2)". It matches the Rfam family "U1 spliceosomal RNA". Rfam says of the family: U1 is a small nuclear RNA (snRNA) component of the spliceosome (involved in pre-mRNA splicing). Its 5' end forms complementary base pairs with the 5' splice junction, thus defining the 5' donor site of an intron. The record is from RNAcentral. Lineage: Eukaryota; Metazoa; Chordata; Mammalia; Rodentia; Cricetidae.